This 460-nucleotide ribosomal RNA is filed under the name uncultured bacterium. Its description in RNAcentral is "partial 16S ribosomal RNA". It matches the Rfam family "Bacterial small subunit ribosomal RNA", at positions 338 to 795 of the family's 1533-position model. The record is from RNAcentral.
CCUACGGGAUGCAGCAGUGAGGAAUAUUGGUCAAUGGACGAGAGUCUGAACCAGCCAAGUAGCGUGAAGGAUGACUGCCCUAUGGGUUGUAAACUUCUUUUAUAAAGGAAUAAAACGAGGCACGUGUGCCUUUUUGCAUGUACUUUAUGAAUAAGGAUCGGCUAACUCCGUGCCAGCAGCCGCGGUAAUACGGGGGGUCCGAGCGUUCUCCGGAUUUAUUGGGUUUAAAGGGAGGUUAGAUGGGUUUUUAAGUCAGGUGUGAAAGUUUGCGGCUCAACCGUAAAAUUGCAGUUGAUACUGGCAGUCUUGAGUACAGGUGAGGUAGGCGGAAUUCGUGGUGUAGCGGUGAAAUGCUUAGAUAUCACGAAGAACCCCGAUUGCGAAGGCAGCUUACUAGACUGUGACUGACAUUGAUGCUCGAAAGUGUGGGUAUCAAACAGGAUUAGAUACCCCAGUAGUC